Molecule: long non-coding RNA, 5159 nt
Organism: Sebastes umbrosus (honeycomb rockfish)
Lineage: Eukaryota; Metazoa; Chordata; Actinopteri; Perciformes; Sebastidae
Exons: 2
Source: RefSeq, a predicted model, not a curated record
AUAUUACUUUACAUACAUUGUGUUAUAUAUUGUAGCAUUGUGUACAUAAUUUACAUUAUACACACACACUACUUUAUAUGUAUAUUUCUUUAUGCUUAUAUGUAAGAGCUGUACUGUAACAUUACAAUUUCAGAUUUUCUUCUCAAACGUAUAUGAUUCGUAUAUACAUCACACCUCCAUACUGUCCAACCACAGCAGUUCAAACUCCAAUAAAACGGCACAAAACUCUCAGGAUGUUGUUUUUUUUUUUCUUUUUUUCUUCCAGAGCAGUGUCACCCAAACUCCACCCAGAGCGACAGCCAUUCAAUAGAAAAGCCUUCUACUUUCAAUGGUCUGAGCUCAGAACCAAUCACAGCUACCCCUGCCCCCCCUCGGCUCCCAGGCUUUCAGCCAAUCGCGGCAGACCCCGCUCCACACAUGACUCUAUGCGCUGCUGUCCAUCAACUGCCUCAUAUAUAGUGCAUGCAUGAAAAUGUGGAGCAGUUCAAUAACUUGCGUCGUAGACAGGCUCUUGUGUGUGCGUGUGUGUGUGUGUGUGUGAGGAGGGGGGUUGCAUGCAUGUGGGAAUGCAUGUGCUUGUUUACCUAUGUAGAAGCACAGAAGGAGAGAGAGAGGGAGGGCGAGAGAGAGAUUUGUAAGGCACUUGUAUUUGCUAACUACUGGCUGAGUUCCCACUAGAGGCAGGGAGAUCAGACUGAAAGACUGUGUGUCAGGAGUGAGACAGAGACAGACAACAGACAGAGAGGAACCGCUCAGCACCAACUUUUCAGCCCGUCUACAUGAGGUUUCUCCCUGAAUAUGGAGGCUCGUGGUUUUUAUUUUUUUUCAACCAUCCAGUCACCACAGAUCCACACCGCCGAACUUUUGGCCACGCUUUAGGCUGAAGGUGAAAGAAGAACACAGGCUCGGCGGAGACAGAUGAGAGUUUGCUUAGUAGUUUUUGAAGAAGGUGAGGAGGAUGACAACGGCGGCGGCGGCGUUCAACACGUCUGCAGGACUAUUUAAGAAAACCGAAACCUUUUGCAUCACCGCCUCUCCUCACUCCCGCUGGCUUCUCAUCAACGUUAUUUGAAGCUCCACGCCGACAUGGGUGGUAACACGCCUUGGCACGGUGCUGCUCCGCACAGGCCAAGAGAAACACGGGAGCGCACACACACACACACACACACACGCAGCUAUAUCUAGCUCGUCUUUCUUGGUGACAGUUAGCAUUACAAAGUUAGCGUUUUUCCAUUGUUUGAAUCGUUGUGUUAACAGCUAUGGCGGACAUAUAAAACACUGACAGGUCUGACAUCAUAGCAGGCUUAUGAAAAAAAGACAAAAAUACAUGUUUAGAUUUGAAUUGCAGACAUUUUAAAUACAUGUGGUUUGGAUGGGAAUCAGAAAGCGAGGGACAGGCGACUGGGAUUUUCCACUUGUCUCAGUGCAACCACAGCAAAGCAACGAAGCUGGAUGAAAAAUAAAGUGGGUAGCUCGAUUUUUGUUACUAAUAUGUUGCAUUAUGUUGAUUUUCUAUGACAAGUCACACAAACCAGUGGCGAGAAACGCGGCCCUUCCUGGUGCCCACGGUGAACAUUCAACGCUGUCGGUGAGUUUGAGCUCUGACCAAAACCAUCGACCGUUGACUGUACCCUGAGGGACGCCACAGCACACUCACACACACACAUUCACACGAUCCAAUGGAAACCAUACGUUGUGAGCUAUUUCAGUUCUGCUCUCAUGCAGAGCAAAAUGCAGAACCACAGUCUGUGGGUGGACUACGGCUCGAGCCUGCGACCUUCAGUUGGCUGGAAUUUCGCAUUUCCUCAGACACAAGAUCAGCUGUGACGCAGGAGGCGUUCACUCUUAAGGCUGCAAUAAACAUUCAUUGCUGUCGGUGGGUUUACAUGAGAACAACUCACUGAUCAAUGAAUGCAGACUGCGGUUCAAACACCUCAGUAACCAGUUGGCCGUGGCGUUCGACGAGAGCAAUGUGUGAUGAUGCAUUAUGUACCCAAAGACUUGAUACGACAUGCUAAAGCUAAUGUGAUUAAUUAGGUUAAAAAGUAUGUUUUUCAUGGUCACUGGCCUCGGCUGGUAAGUACAAGCAUAUGUGCAGCAGAUGUGACUGUAGCAUUCAAGAUCAGAUGUCGUUCCAGCAUUUACAGUUUUGCUUUGGUUUUAAAGGGUCAGUUCAUCCAAAUAAGAUUAAAAAACAUAUUUUCUCACUUAACAUUAGUGCUAUCUAGAAAUGUGGUUAGUUUUGGUUUUAUUCGUCCAGGUUUCAAGAUAUUUGGUUCCGAGGGUUCAAAUGUAAUGAAUUAAUGUAAUGUAAUUUCAUUUGUGGUGCUUCACACCAAAUUUGGAUAUUUGAUAAAUUCAAUGGCUACAUCAUAGGGCUGUCAAUCGAUUAAAAUAUAUAAUCAUGAAUAAUCGCAUGAUGGUCCUUAGUUAAUCGCGAUUAAUCGCAAAUAAAUCACACAUUUUUUUAUCUGUUCAAAAUGAACCUUGAAGGGAGAUUUGUCAAGUGUUACAUUUAAUGACUAGACACCACUAGUGGUAAGUGAUAAAAUAUGUAUAUUUUGUAGUUUGGGUACAGGUUUUCCGUCAGAAAAAAAUGGUGCUGGUCCACGUGUCCUAGAAGAUUCCAAUGUCCCAGACAAAAGGGAGAAACUCCGGUCAAGUAUUAUCCUUGUUUAUUGAGUUUCAAAACAAUUGAUAGGUAAAGAGAGAUAGGGACAGAGAGAGAGAAAGCGCUUGUGUGAUGGUGAGUAGCACGUAGGCAGUAACGUUGUAGCUGUGAAUGUAGCAGUGCAGUGUGUGUACAGUUUAUAUGUCGGCCAAUAAAUGCUACAACUCCUCAAGAUCCAAGCCAAGUUCCUGUGUCUUGCUUUUCUUGCCCCAAAGUUAGCGACAACUUCGACCCUGGCUCACUUUAGGUGGACUGACCUUGAAGUAGAAACCAAUGGCUGCCUGAAAUGUGGUACAAGACCAGUUUAAAAAUCUAAAAGACUACGGUACUACGCUUUAGAGGAGUCAGCAGUAAUGUAAAAAGCUGGAUAUGUUUGACAUUUUUCAAGUUGCUAGUGCUGAUAUGACACUUUAAUUUUGGUACCAAUCUCAAAAUGAUACUUUGUUUGAUACAUUUUGAGAAACAGAAAUGUGUUUUUCUACAAACCCUUUUUUUCAUUUGACAAAAUGAAAUUUUAAAUGUCUAAAAACAAACACCCUUAGAUGAAGUUUGCCUAAAUAAAAUAGCAUAAAACAAAAACAAGUAAACAAGAAGACAAAUCUGACAGUCAAUGCCAACUUUCACUUCUUGACCAUUUUUGAUAUUCGGUGCUACAGGCACAUUUCAGAUGGUACAAAAAAAGUUACAAUUUGGUACCAAGCCCUAAAUGUAAUGUAUGUUACUGCGUAGUCAAUGGGAUAAACAUCAGUGGCCCAACAAAGCCUCCUAGAAUGCAUUGUUCUCAUUAGACAGAUGUAGAUAAGAUACUUAGACAUCAACACACAUUAGUUUAUAGUAUUUUUUUGUAUUAUCUUUUGAAAUAAGGAUUUGAAUAUCUUUAUAUCAAUUCGACAAAAGUAUUGAAAAUUAUGAUUAGCAUAAUAUCCAUAAUAUAUGGAUUGUCACCGCAUUAUUCUGUGGACUGUAGCCUCGGUGUAGGCAUUUCAGCUGACAGUCUGAUCCAAAGCACACAGGUAGGGGGUUCAGCAUGUCGCCUAAAGCCGGCUUCCCACCAUGACCCAAAUGUUAAAUUCCAUGACUUUUCUCUGAUUUGCCAUUACCAAGUGCGACCGCUUCCAUAACCUCAAAACUGUAUUCAUUUCUGGUUUUUAACUGCUGUCUGCUUUUCCACUUCACUUGAGCUGAAAAUCAACUACUGCUAAAUAUGUGUGAAACAAGCUGGAAAAUCCUAUUGGAUAUGUUCUAUGAAGCUACUGUUCUUUGUACAGUCUGAUAUCCUCACAAACUUUGCGUGUCUACGGCACAUCUCCGAACUGCAUAAUAUUCCAGGAAUUCGAAGGCCCGAGGGAACUCUGUCAAGGGCACUUUUAAAGACAGACAGACUGCUGUGGGGGGUGGUACCUGGGACUUUUGUAAUUACAAGACAGUCACCCAAAUCUACAGUAUAAGUCAAAUGUAACAGAAAGAGGUGAAACUGAGAAACCUGUUUAAUUCUGCUCCGGUUCAAAUCAACCCACUCUAAUAUAUAUAUAUUUUAUAAAGAGUGAAACAAUCUGUGCCCACGAUUCUUGGAAAGUUAAUCAGCCUCGUAACCCCAUUUCAGUAUGUAAUUGGAGGAGAUAUAGGCAUGUGGAAAUAAUCUUGCAGUAAUUGCCCUGUAAGGUUAUGUUAACAUGCUGGGAAAUCUCAAACACAUUGACGUUUUCCAGCCAGAGCAGACCGAAAACGCAUGUCUUUUUACAGUGGAAAAGUGUCGGAGGGGACAAUGAGAAGCAGUCCGGGUCGCUUCUUGUCUUUCAGCUGUCUAAUAAAGAGGAAACCAACACUUUUUCACCACACUCACAUACACAGAUUGUGCUGGUCAUAAAGACAGAAAUUCUAAAAGGGGUCUAUUAUACUAAUAGGUACUGUGCAUUUAAAUAAAAGCAUUACUUUGAUAUCAUCUUUGAUUGUAAAACUGCACAUACGCUAGUACUAACCAAUUGAAGGCAAAUGUAGAAACCAAUAUAUAUAUGGGCAUAAAUUUAAAUUUUUGCUUUUUUAAAUAAAUUCUCUUAUUUGACGUUUCUCUCAGAACUAUAUUCUCGUCAAAACCUCUCUAAAACAACCCAAAACUCUAAAAAUAAAGCUCCUUGAAGUCUGCAGAUUUUUAAAGUUCUGGGAAAUUGUGAUACAUCGCUGACUUUAAAGAGGUAUUAAUCUACAAAUAAACAUGCAAAUGAAUUUAUAAAAUGUCAGAGUAAAGCAUAAUAUCUACAGAGGCCUGUAUGGGGCGGAUGGAUACUGUUUGCUACAUAUAUUAGGGCCACACAAAAGUCUGCUUGUUUAUCCCUGUGGAGUUGGGCUUUGUCAUCACACACUGUGAAGUUAUAGGCACUGACACUGGGAACAGCGUGACCCACUUCUCCCUGACCUGGAAACACUCCGCAGGCUGACCCUGAGUCUAACGCCAAUGCGAGUUGCAUCAAGCGAGAAAGAAAAAAAAAAA